GUGGGGAAUUUUGGACAAUGGGCGAAAGCCUGAUCCAGCAAUGCCGCGUGCAGGAAGAAGGCCUUCGGGUUGUAAACUGCUUUUGUACGGAACGAAACGGUCUGGGUUAAUACCCUGGGCUAAUGACGGUACCGUAAGAAUAAGCACCGGCUAACUACGUGCCAGCAGCCGCGGUAAUACGUAGGGUGCGAGCGUUAAUCGGAAUUACUGGGCGUAAAGCGUGCGCAGGCGGUUUUGUAAGACAGGCGUGAAAUCCCCGGGCUCAACCUGGGAAUGGCGCUUGUGACUGCAAAGCUGGAGUGCGGCAGAGGGGGAUGGAAUUCCGCGUGUAGCAGUGAAAUGCGUAGAUAUGCGGAGGAACACCGAUGGCGAAGGCAAUCCCCUGGGCCUGCACUGACGCUCAUGCACGAAAGCGUGGGGAGCAAACAGGAUUAGAAACCCGGGUAGUCC
RNAcentral lists this ribosomal RNA (450 nucleotides) under uncultured bacterium. RNAcentral's name for it is "partial 16S ribosomal RNA". It matches the Rfam family "Bacterial small subunit ribosomal RNA", at positions 354 to 796 of the family's 1533-position model. The record is from RNAcentral.